This 955-nucleotide long non-coding RNA is filed under the name Betta splendens (Siamese fighting fish). RNAcentral describes it as "lncRNA (ENSBSLG00000001911.1)". The record is from RNAcentral. Lineage: Eukaryota; Metazoa; Chordata; Actinopteri; Anabantiformes; Osphronemidae.
CUGAGGCUGCUGAAUGGCAGCAGGGUGUGAAGAGGUCCACGCAUGCAGCGAGGAGGAGCAGGACGAGGCGGCAGAUGCUGAGGAGGCCAUGCUGUGGCCCAUCCAGGAGGCCCUGGAGAGACAGACCCUGCAGAUCGGGGCCUCAGCCUGCGGGGCCACGGCCGUGGUGGAUGUGCUGAGGGCCCUGGGCGUGGAUGUGACCCCCGAGAGAGCCGACCAAUGUGUGCGAACGCGACUGAGGAGGAACGAUUCACCGCUGCCCGACUACCUGCUGUCCCGGAGCCAAGCAGGGGCGACUCACACCCAACUCAUCCAAGGAGCAGAAGAUGCCAGUCAAGGUCAGGUGACGGGCCGCUUCUUCCACUUCCACCCUCGCCGCCGGGCGAAGCUCGUCCCCUGGCUUUCUAAGUGGAUCCGAAAAGGUGCUGUUCCCGUGGCAACCAUGAACAUGCAAGUUGCCGUACCAGAGGGCGAGGAGGUGCCCGAUGCCUGGCACCAUCAGCUCAUAUUUGGUGUAACGUCCAAUGCUGUUUUUAUGACCAACCCGUUAGAUUUAGUAAGUGAAGAGGAGGUGCAUCAGAGACUCUGCAGUGAAUCUGUGCUGCUGAUUCAGCGACAAGACGUCUUGCAGAGAUUGACAUCUGACUGCUGUCUGUCCAGUCUGUCUGAGAGCCACACUGACCCACGGUGGAAAGCCUUAGAUGUUGAGGGUCAGGUGAGACAAAUGGCCCUCGAAGAGGAGCAGGAGCAAGAUCGAGCCACGUUAACGCACAUCACAAUCCCUGCAGCAUACAGCUCAGGCAUCACACUCUUCACCCUGCGACACACAGACUUAGGUCAAGAGCUCCUCAAUGCUCCUCAACUCCCUCUGGCGUGACUGGACAAGCACACAAGGACUCGACUUAUUUAUUUUAAUUCAAAUAAAAAAAUGUAAUGAGACCUAAAGACUAAGUGU